This 496-nucleotide ribosomal RNA is filed under the name uncultured bacterium. RNAcentral's name for it is "partial 16S ribosomal RNA". It matches the Rfam family "Bacterial small subunit ribosomal RNA", at positions 29 to 507 of the family's 1533-position model. The record is from RNAcentral.
AUGAACGCUGGCGGCGUGCCUAAUACAUGCAAGUCGCGCGAACGGACGAGAAGCUUGCUUUUCUGAUGUUAGCGGCGGACGGGUGAGUAACACGUGGAUAACCUACCUAUAAGACUGGGAUAACUUCGGGAAACCGGAGCUAAUACCGAAUAAUAUUUUGAACCGCAUGGUUCAAAAGUGAAAGACGGUCUUGCUGUCACUUAUAGAUGGAUCCGCGCUGCAUUAGCUAGUUGGUAAGGUAACGGCUUACCAAGGCAACGAUGCAUAGCCGACCUGAGAGGGUGAUCGGCCACACUGGAACUGAGACACGGUCCAGACUCCUACGGGAGGCAGCAGUAGGGAAUCUUCCGCAAUGGGCGAAAGCCUGACGGAGCAACGCCGCGUGAGUGAUGAAGGUCUUCGGAUCGUAAAACUCUGUUAUUAGGGAAGAACAUAUGUGUAAGUAACUGUGCACAUCUUGACGGUACCUAAUCAGAAAGCCACGGCUAACUACGUG